GCCAGCAGCCAUAUCACUUUGCAACUCGCAACUGGCAACCCACUGAAAUUCAGCAAGUGUGAGCCUUGCCAGUACCUGGAUGGGAGACCUCCUGAGAAAAACUAAGGUUGCUGCUGGAA
RNAcentral lists this ribosomal RNA (119 nucleotides) under Lepisosteus oculatus (spotted gar). Lineage: Eukaryota; Metazoa; Chordata; Actinopteri; Semionotiformes; Lepisosteidae. The record is from RNAcentral.